This is a small nucleolar RNA of Hyaena hyaena (striped hyena), 72 nucleotides long. RefSeq annotates it as small nucleolar RNA U2-19. The record is from RefSeq and is a predicted model, not a curated record. Lineage: Eukaryota; Metazoa; Chordata; Mammalia; Carnivora; Hyaenidae. The transcript has a single exon.
GAUCAAUGAUGAAAAUACCUGAAUCAGCGCAUUAGAAGACCUUCCAGUCUGCCUAUCUUCAUACUUCUGAGA